RNAcentral lists this ribosomal RNA (270 nucleotides) under uncultured prokaryote. RNAcentral describes it as "partial 16S ribosomal RNA". It matches the Rfam family "Bacterial small subunit ribosomal RNA", at positions 524 to 794 of the family's 1533-position model. The record is from RNAcentral.
UACGUAGGGGCAAGCGUUAUCCGGAUUUACUGGGUGUAAAGGGAGCGCAGACGGAACUGCAAGUCUGAUGUGAAAGCCCGGGGCUCAACCGCGGGACUGCAUCGGAUACUGUGGAUCUGGAGUGCCGGAGGGGCAAGCGGAAUUCCUGGUGUAGCGGUGAAAUGCGUAGAUAUCAGGAGGAACACCGGCGGCGAAGGCGGCUUGCUGGACGGCAACUGACGUUGAGGCUCGAAAGCGUGGGGAGCAAACAGGAUUAGAUACCCCCGUAGU